GGUGUAUGUAUGCAUUAAUUUCUUGAAUUCAUUCAUGAUGUCCGGUUAAGUUUAGGUUGUAUCAGAAAGUAAUUAUGAGCAACCGUGAUCCAUGUCACUUCUGCUCACGGGCAUCAAAUGGCCCCACACGAAUCACCUCCUUCACUCAACGAUUGAGAUGUCACAACUGAUAAAGAACCGUCGGAUGCCCAUGACCAUGGCAAAGCGGUUUGAAUUGCUCGCUGGUACGACGCAAACCGCGGUGUCCCUCUCCGGAUGUCUCACGGUGGUGGAAGGGAGGUCUAGGGUGUGACCACAACAGUUGGACAGAGGUGUGGUGGUGGUGGCGGCGGCGGUGGUGGAAGGGAGGACGGGAGCUACCAUGAAAUGACAUGACAUCUAUGGACGAGGAUGUGAAUUAUUUAGUUAGGUAGGCCUUCGGAGCUUGAUGAGACUGGUCCUUUCUUCAAGGAUCCAUUCAUGCCCUAUUUUUGUGUACGUGUCAGCCUUUGGACGGAGAGAGCAAAGGGAAAAAGGAGCACAACUAAUUUUGAACGGCUUCCAUCCAUGUUGCUUGGUGAAACAAUGGGUCUCAAACGGUAGGUCCCUUUUGACGGACAGAUGGGAAACGUUUCUCCUCUCCUUCGUCAUUCCAAAAAGCCACCAUCAAUCAUUUUGAGGAGACAGGUGGUACCGAAUUAAUUGCAUCAAUUUGUCACAAAAAGUAGGGUGUGAGCCAGCCUACUCCUGGGGCGAGAGAGUGAUCCCUAAGUUGGCCUUUUUUUCUGUGGGUUCCUCGCUUCCUCUUGUUGGCCAUGCUCAAUCUUCGGCAAAAGGAAUAAUUUCCUGUCCCUCCAAUCUUUUUUUUUUAUUCCAUCUUGCGCGGCAGCGAUGCGCGCGGAUCAAUAUGCAUUUCUGACAUUAUAUGCAUCCGGAAACACGCAAACACCGAGUACCGUAGUUUACUUGGUUUCGUUUUCAUC
Molecule: long non-coding RNA, 962 nt
Filed under: Elaeis guineensis (African oil palm)
Lineage: Eukaryota; Viridiplantae; Streptophyta; Magnoliopsida; Arecales; Arecaceae
Description: long non-coding RNA (EGUI_LNC025398)
Source: RNAcentral